This 1000-nucleotide long non-coding RNA is filed under the name Chrysolophus pictus (golden pheasant). RNAcentral's name for it is "lncRNA (ENSCPIG00010008213.1)". The record is from RNAcentral. Lineage: Eukaryota; Metazoa; Chordata; Aves; Galliformes; Phasianidae.
GGGGUUCUCUUCUCUGGAGACGUUAAAAACCCGCUUGGACGCGUUCUUAUGUGACCUAAUCUAGGUGUUCCUGCUCCCGCAGGGAUAUUGGACUAGAUGAUCUUUCGAGGUCCUUUCCAAUCCCUGACAUUCUGUGAUUCUGUGACUUGUGGACAAUAACAUACUAUUGUCAUUAGCCGUACAGAAUGCCCUCUCAGAGGCUGAAAGAAAGGGGCCAUAGCUUCUGAUGAAACUUUAGAGAUGCAGGAGAUUAUUAUUUUUCUCCUUUCCAUGGAGAAUAUCAAGCUGCUAAUUGUCUGCUCUAUUUUCUGCUCUAGUUUUUACAGAAAAUAUUAAGUCACAUACCAGGAAAAUUCAUAUUCUUGACAUUAAAUCUUCUGGUAACACCGAGAGAGCAUCAUCCAUUCAGACCGGUAGCGCAUUUGAAGCAAAGACCCUGUAAACUAGCAGUGGUUUACAUAGGCUUUGCUCUUUUCUACUCCUCUGCAAAGAGUUCCACCUGUUAAAAAAUCAAUAUUGUUGUCAGUAAUCUGGAUUUGAGGAUCUUUAGAAAUCUGAUUAUUAGUACUGAGCAGAUACAUAAAAAAAUCUCUUCUACAUUGAACACUGUAUUGAGGAUUCAACUCACUAACUUUGUUUUCUUUCAGGACAAUUUCACACUGAGUUUCUGAAGAUGGAUUCCCAGUUUUGCAGAUCGCUGGAGAUAUUUCAGACCAGAGUCUACAGUGAGAAGCAGAAGAACGAGACACCACCUACCUCUCGCAAAGCAGGGGAAGAUAGAAGGCCUAAAUGAUAUUUAUCUGCAGGUAAUAUUUCAAUAAUCUGCUUCUUCUCUUUAUCUUUCCUGAGGCUUGGAGCCAUGGCCAAGUGACGAGGGUUUCCUGUGUACAGGCUCUUUGGGCACUGUCUUGGUUUUGCCUUCCUGUUGUCCAUACUCUAACAGCUGCAGGAGAUUUCUCCAGACCUCAAAGAAGUCACUCUAGCUUAACAGCUCAGCUGG